This 584-nucleotide ribosomal RNA is filed under the name uncultured bacterium. RNAcentral describes it as "bacterial SSU rRNA". It matches the Rfam family "Bacterial small subunit ribosomal RNA", at positions 338 to 941 of the family's 1533-position model. The record is from RNAcentral.
CCUACGGGAGGCAGCAGUGGGGAAUAUUGGACAAUGGGCGAAAGCCUGAUCCAGCAAUGCCGCGUGAGUGAUGAAGGCCUUCGGGUCGUAAAGCUCUUUUACCAGGGAUGAUAAUGACAGUACCUGGAGAAUAAGCUCCGGCUAACUCCGUGCCAGCAGCCGCGGUAAUACGGAGGGAGCUAGCGUUGUUCGGAAUUACUGGGCGUAAAGAGUACGUAGGCGGUUAUUCAAGUCAGAGGUGAAAGCCCGGGGCUCAACCCCGGAACUGCCUUUGAAACUAGAUAACUAGAGUCUUGGAGAGGUUAGUGGAAUUCCGAGUGUAGAGGUGAAAUUCGUAGAUAUUCGGAAGAACACCAGUGGCGAAGGCGACUAACUGGACAAGUACUGACGCUGAGGUACGAAAGCGUGGGGAGCAAACAGGAUUAGAUACCCUGGUAGUCCACGCCGUAAACGAUGAUAACUAGUUGUUCGGUCACUUGGUGACUGAGUGACGCAGCUAACGCAUUAAGUUAUCCGCCUGGGGAGUACGGUCGCAAGAUUAAAACUAGAAGUAUAGCGNNGAGNGCGACGAGCACAGGAGGUAG